GGGGGCGUUUUUUGGAUUCGACGGGGGUAGAUCGAGCAUGGGUAGCGGGUAGUGGGGACGCGUCCGCUUUAUCAACGCUAAAGCCAAUUAAACGGCAAACAAAACAACAACUUAGCUUUCGCAGCUUAAUAACCUGCGUGCUAGCUCUAUCUCUGCAUCGCCCAUGUGCCGGGAAUAGGGCCCAACUUUAGUGGGAUACGCCGUCUGGUCUCCGCCUGGGGCUGGCGGAAGAAGAUAAUCAGGCUGACCCGAAGGGAAUCCGGUGACAGGGAGUCCGAGUAUCGCUUACGAUGCUAGCAUUGCUUCGCAAUGCUUUCGGGUGACAUCAAAACUGUCACUACACCCGUAGAAACCUAUGUGGCGUUGCCUUCGGACAGGGGUUCGACUCCCCUCGCCUCCAUAU
RNAcentral lists this transfer-messenger RNA (403 nucleotides) under Paenibacillaceae. RNAcentral describes it as "Paenibacillus_A oralis Standard tmRNA". It matches the Rfam family "transfer-messenger RNA". From Rfam's summary of the family: Bacterial tmRNA, also known as 10Sa RNA or SsrA, is named for its dual tRNA and mRNA-like properties. Its role is to liberate the mRNA from a stalled ribosome. To accomplish this part of the tmRNA is used as a reading frame that ends in a translation stop signal. The record is from RNAcentral. RNAcentral also lists the same sequence under 1 other name. Lineage: Bacteria; Bacillati; Bacillota; Bacilli; Caryophanales.